UACGUAGGUGGCAAGCGUUGUCCGGAUUUACUGGGCGUAAAGAGCGCGCAGGCGGUCGUACAAGUCGCGUGUGAAAGCCCCCGGCUCAACUGGGGAGGGUCACGCGAUACUGAUCGACUCGAAGGCAGGAGAGGGUAGUGGAAUUCCUGGUGUAGCGGUGAAAUGCGCAGAUAUCAGGAGGAACACCGGUGGCGAAGGCGGGUCUCUGGGCAACAACUGACGCUGAGGAGCGAAAGCGUGGGGAGCGAACAGG
This 253-nucleotide ribosomal RNA is filed under the name uncultured bacterium. Its description in RNAcentral is "partial 16S ribosomal RNA". It matches the Rfam family "Bacterial small subunit ribosomal RNA", at positions 524 to 776 of the family's 1533-position model. The record is from RNAcentral.